This 1663-nucleotide long non-coding RNA is filed under the name Oryza sativa tropical japonica subgroup. RNAcentral's name for it is "lncRNA OsCMeo_11g0016270". The record is from RNAcentral. Lineage: Eukaryota; Viridiplantae; Streptophyta; Magnoliopsida; Poales; Poaceae.
GAGCAGUUGAACCGGAGAAUCGGAGGCGAGCGGCGAGAGACAAGGGAAGGAGAGGUAGGGGUCCUAGGGCGGAGGUGCGAAGGGGAGCACCCGCGGGCGCCUCCGGCGAGGCGAACGGCCGGCGACCACCGCUCUUACAAGCCGGCGCCUAGGUUACUAGAUCUGGUCUCAAUAAGAGGGCAAGAUAUGGAUAUUAUCUGUGACAUAUUUUCACGGUUACGUUUCAAAGAAGCUGCAAGGACGAGCAUGGUGUCUAGGAGUUGGAGAAGGCUUUGGAGAUGCUACCCAAAUCUUGUCUUCACCAGACGAACAAUGCUCCAUGGCAACAUAACAGACGACCACCCAGCACACUACAUCCUGGCUACAUUUAUCUCUCGUGUAAACAACAUCUUGUGGCAGUUAAGGUCGUCCUCUCUCGAGAAUUUCAUAGUAAAAUUCCCUCUCCUUGGGAGAGAUGCACAUCACAUUGACAGAUGGGUUAGCUUUUCUGCUGCUUCAAGAGCUAGGCAAAUUGUUCUUUAUCUCUGUCCAGAAGAAGAGGACACUGACAUGAAUGACAUGUACAGUUUCCCCCUGCAUAUCUUCUCUGGUGACAAUUGCGUCAGCUCUCUCUCCCUAGGGUUCGUCUCCCUGACACUGCCUCCUCAUCUCAGUGGCUUCACAAACCUGAAGAAGCUUGGGCUGCACAUGGUGUCCAUCAGGGGAGAUCUGCAGUGCCUGCUCUCCCAGUGUGAUGUUAUGGAGUGGUUAAGCCUGACAAAGUGUUCAUUGCAACAUCGAAGCAUAUGCCAGAAGCUGCACCAGUUGCGGUAUCUGUGCGUGCGCAAGUGUAGAUUGCAGAAGCUAGAUCUGCAAGCACCGAACCUGACAGAAUUGGAGCUCGCCAACUAUCCAAUACCAAUUGUGCUCGGCGAAUGCCUGAACUUGUCGGUGGCGACGAUCGAGCUGGUGUCGUUCUCGGAUUGUUUGAGCUAUGUCGCCACUGAGCUUCCAGCUGGUGGUCUUUAUCACGUGCAGGAUCGUCUCUCCAUCAACAUGACAGUCAGAACUGAGUCGCGAGGAUUUGCAGAAAGCAUUGGCAGGUUCAACAAUCUGAAGCAUCUGAUCUUGAACAUCGAUGUCCAGGGAAGUUCGGACAAUGGCAGCGGAAUUCUUCGCCUGGCUUCGCUACUGGAGAUGGCACCAUGUCUGGAAGAGCUGGAACUCAAUAUGUACUGUCCUAGUGCACCGAUCUACACAAAGCGUGGUCAGUUAGAUAAAUUAAGUUCAGUGUGUGUGCACAAGCAUCUCAGGACUGUACGCAUGACAGGAUUCGAUAGUACACGUGGACAGCUUGAACUGGCGUUCCAAAUUCUUAGGAGUGCACCCAAUCUUGACCGUCUGAUCGUUGAUCCGAUGGUUAGGGUUGCAUGGAGCCUGCGCCUUGAUUGGUCGGAGCAAGCUGAUCUGAUGCUCGUUCGAAGGAUGAUGGCCGAGAACCGCCUUCUCAGAAGCGAGUACCGUCACAUGAUUACCCUUCUAUGAAAAAGGCACUUUUUUUGUAGUUUCAAAUUUUGUUGCAUAUAUAAAUAUCAAUAUCCAGCGACUUUUUUCUUUUUGGUAUAUAUUUUCUCGCCAGUGAAUUGGGAGAGGCCGUGUUAUAUUUAUGAAAAUUGUUUGUUGC